Molecule: long non-coding RNA, 1239 nt
Organism: Saccostrea cuccullata (small rock oyster)
Lineage: Eukaryota; Metazoa; Mollusca; Bivalvia; Ostreida; Ostreidae
Exons: 4
Source: RefSeq, a predicted model, not a curated record
CCCAUCUAUUCUCGUCUCCACUGGUGGUCUCAGGAGGAAUGGUUGCAGUGCAGCCUUCAUGUCCUGGGCAGGUCUGUUGCAUGUUGGUGGCUGACGCUGGUACAAUAUUUGCACCAAGAAGCAUACCACGUAUCCCCUCUGUUCUAAUGACUGGUACCCAGGUGACCAACAGCCAUGGCCACAUUCAGCUGUGCAGCUCUUCGUCCCCUGCCAGAUCUUCUCACCUCUUCGUAAAUCUUUUCUCGGUGACUGGUAUAGUGGCACUUCUUACAUCGAAAGGAAAGGAUCCAUGCCAGGCCUCGUUUUUCCUCCCCCUGCUGAUUCCAGUCCAGUGGACCAUCACAGUCUGGAAACUUCUCUGCCAGGACAAGAGAAACUCCAUUCUUUGAUGACUGAUGGAUAAGCCUCUUCACCCCACACUGCUCAAGAAUCCCUUAUCUUAAUUCAACAGCCAUUAAUCAGUGAUCACUGUUACCAAACCUCCAAGGUUCAGUGCAAGAGACAAGAAAAGGAAAAUCUGGAGCAGGGCCACAAAAUUCAAGGAGCACCAUCUGUUGCAGCCCAGAGUUUACCUUCCCCGCUGCAGAAACUAGACGCCCUUUAAUUCGGUACCACUGAGCCUCAUGGCUUCACAGUGAUGGAAAACACAGUGCAAAAGAGUAAGAAUGGAAGACGCCGGAUCUUUCCUGUACAGGCUAACAUCUUACCUGUCACAGAACCAGUGCCGUAUCUGUGAACAUUACCAGCGUCAAUGAUUACCGGAAAUACACCUCCCUCCUUUUCACCUGAACUUCCUUAUUCUACCAUACAUUACCACAAAAAAAAGUUUGAGGCUGCUCAAGCGGGGGAAUUUAAGCGCCAGUACACCAGGCGGGCCACAGUUACAUCAUGUGGGAAAUGUGUGGGGAGGAUAAGAGUGGAGGAGGACACCAGCAGUACUAUGGUAACAUCUACUGCCCAAACAAAGCUGGUGUGCCAUAUCAGGAAUGGAGGGAAGCUUUUAAAACCAGGGGAUAUGAAAAAAAGAAAAGCAAAAACUGAUCAGCAAGAGCCAUCUCAGAAAGAGACAAAAGACCAGUAAUUACUAUUCUACCCCACAUACAGUGUACCAUUCUAAAAAAUAACUUUCAUCAAUCAAAGGAAACAUCUGUGACUAUUAUAAUCAGAGGAAACAUCAUUGACUAUUAAAAAAAAUUUUAAUGCUGCCUAGUUUUGACACUGAUAUAAGUAGAAGGUCCC